UUCAAAUAGUUAAAAUGGAUGUAUCAAUCAACUUAAAAUUAGAAAAUCAACAGAAUUGGAACUAUGCUCACAAUGUGGUACUGAGGUUCACUUUUCAAUUACCACCAGAUGGGUACCUUUUUAUUCGAACUCUUAUCUCAAAGUCCACCACAUCAUGAAACGACAUAUAAUAAUCACAACAGAUACAAAACCUUCUAUUCUACAAAAAAAGAGUUUAAAUAACUAUGCUAACUUUAACAUCAGGAUUAUUGAGCAUAAAAAGUUUCUAACCACGGCCACCAACGCCUCUUCCACCAUGGCCACCAUGUGUAGGUGCUCCCUAAGAUUGCCCCCUGCUGAAAACAAAAAAAAGGAUGGGAGUUAGAAACCAAUAGUUUAUAUAUAAUUGUUAUGGCAUACAUUAACAAUCAUCUUCAGUAAAUUGAGUGUUUUAGAUUAAAUCUAAUAAUACAUAGUGUUGCAGGAUUGUAGAACGAACACAUUGCUUGGGCAGGGAAGCUACUCUGCUUUUUCAGGUAUGGACACAUUCCUAGACCUUUGAAAAUGCUGCUGUACAAACAACAAGAUACUUUUUGUGGCAAAGAAAAAUUCACUGAUACGAAGGCUUGUUCGUUUGUGCCGAUUGCACCCGGAAUCGUUCUAGCUAAUCAAAGUUUAUAUAAAUUAGAGAAACAAUCCGGUUAGGAAUCGUUCCGAUCCACCAAUCCGUAACAACCGAAUGGCGCCUAAAGCAUGUUACAUCCUCUCAUUACAAAAAUAAACCAAACUACUCCAACUCCAUUGAUGGGAGACAAGAAACCUUGAAAAAGCCAUAAAUUCCACCAUCUAGGAUCAUCAUCCCAAAUGGAUAUGCCACAGAAACAAACUCCGGUCUGAACGAACAUGGCCAUCUCACCAUUCACCACCGUCAUCCUCAUACCCAUCACUUUUGCAAAAGAGGAGUAAACUGCUAAAACUCCACAUGCAAACAUGAUGAAAUUGGCGCCGCCGAGUACGUCAUCGAACUCAUCGUCGUCGCCUUCACCAGAUUAGUCGUGGGAGAACACAAGUCCAACCGACAUCCAGAUAUAUAUCGUUGGAAAACUAACUCUCCCUAGCCCACCGCCAUGGCUGCAUAGAACCACAGCGAGACAAAGGAAGGGCUGGAGUACCUUAUUCUCCAUCAAUGAUGAUGACUUCGUCUUGCCAUCACCGCUGAGAAACGACAUGCUCCAUUGCUCCAUCGAUGAUCUUGACGACGCCUUACGCCGUGGCCAAUCUCUUCGAUUGGAUCUCCGGAAAAACCCUUAAACCUAACAAACCUAAUUAAACUAACAGAUCAAAAAAGAGGGUGGAUCCCCGCUCCUCCUCACCGCCGGUGAGAUCGCGGGAGAAGAAGGAGGAGGGGGACCAAGCGGCGGCCGUGGCGGCGAAGGCACUCCUGGCGCUAGCCGCUAGGGCAUUUUUCUUUUUCCCGGCUGCCGUGCGGUCA
Molecule: long non-coding RNA, 1471 nt
Filed under: Zea mays
Lineage: Eukaryota; Viridiplantae; Streptophyta; Magnoliopsida; Poales; Poaceae
Description: long non-coding RNA (ZMAY_LNC004634)
Source: RNAcentral